This 423-nucleotide long non-coding RNA is filed under the name Monodelphis domestica (gray short-tailed opossum). Its description in RNAcentral is "lncRNA (ENSMODG00000030778.2)". The record is from RNAcentral. Lineage: Eukaryota; Metazoa; Chordata; Mammalia; Didelphimorphia; Didelphidae.
CGACCUUAAAUUAAUAUAUAUCAGUCUUUUAAAGUGAUUCCCUUGUAACAUUGUGGCUGACCACACGGGAGUCUAAAGAAUCCUCUCAAUAAAACUUUUUCCUUGCCUUUUUACUAUACUGUUUCACCACUUAGUCCUUUUUUUUUAAAAAAAAAAAAAAAAAAAAAAAAAAAAAAAAAAAAAAAGAAAAAAAAGGAAGCAUCCGAACCCUUUCCCUGUCCUCUAAGCUCUUUCCUCCAAGAUGUGCUCUUCUGCCCCUUAAACUCAUCCAGUACUCACCGCUAACAAAUUUCUCACGCUGUCCGAUGGCGUCAGAAGCAGUCUAAAGUUCCGAGCGAGGCCAUGACUCUGUUUCUCCCCAUUUUUCCCCAAUUCCUUCCUCGGGCUGCUUGCGUUGCGCCUCCAACAGCUGUCCCCCACCAU